AGCAAAUAGAUACCCGGGUAGUCCACGCCCUAAACGAUGUCGACUGGUUGUUGGGGGUUUGACACUCUCAGUAAACGAAAGCUAAACGCGUGAAGUCGACCGCCUGGGGAGUACGGCCGCAAGGUUAAAACUCAAAGGAAUUGACGGGGACCCGCACAAGCGGUGGAUUAUGUGGAUUAAUUCGAUGCAACGCGAAAAACCUUACCUACCCUUGACAUGUCCGGAAGGCUGCUGAAAGGCGGCUGUGCCCGAAAGGGAACUGGAACACAGGUGCUGCAUGGCUGUCGUCAGCUCGUGUCGUGAGAUGUUGGGUUAAGUCCCGCAACGAGCGCAACCCUUGUCAUUAGUUGCUACCCGCAAGGGAGCACUCUAAUGAGACUGCCGGUGACAAACCGGAGGAAGGUGGGGAUGACGUCAAGUCCUCAUGGCCCUUAUGGGUAGGGCUUCACACGUAAUACAAUGGCGCGUACAGAGGGUUGCCAAGGAGCGAUCUGGAGCCAAUCCCGUAAAGCGCGUCGUAGUCCGGAUUGCAGUCUGCAACUCG
Molecule: ribosomal RNA, 544 nt
Filed under: uncultured bacterium
Lineage: Bacteria
Description: bacterial SSU rRNA
Rfam family: Bacterial small subunit ribosomal RNA
Source: RNAcentral